Molecule: long non-coding RNA, 550 nt
Filed under: Equus caballus (horse)
Lineage: Eukaryota; Metazoa; Chordata; Mammalia; Perissodactyla; Equidae
Description: lncRNA (ENSECAG00000040616.2)
Source: RNAcentral
AAGAAGAUGUGGUGUAUAUAUAUACAAUGGAAUACUACUCAGCCAUAAAACAAACAACAAAAUCAUCCCAUUCGCAACAACAUGGAUGGACCUGGAGGGUAUUAUAUUCAGCAAAAUAAGCCAGACAGAGAAAGACAAACACCAUAUGAUUUCACUCAUGUGUGGAAGCAAUAACAGGCUGUGAAUUUUCUCGCCUCAGGAGAGGUACAGGACAGGCAGGAGGGCAGAGUCAGCCUGCCAAACUUUUACCUGUUUUUGUGGCCCACACACCUGAGCUAAGCGAGGAUCACACGACGUUCAGGAGGACGCAGGGGCCCUGGAGGAGCAGGGGCAGGAGAGGCUCCCCCGUCGGAGGUCCACGAGGGCCGGAGCUGUGCUGAGAAUCUACGCGGGAAGCAAACACCGCUCCAUGGUGGAGCCCGAGGAGGGUUGCCACCAUUAUGUGCAAUCUGAUGCCUUGGUUUCCUAUUUCUGGGCUGAAGAACUUCCUCAAGUAAUUGUUUUCACACAGGGAGCCUGAAUGGUAACUUAUUUAUUUCCAGAUGUCUUU